RNAcentral lists this ribosomal RNA (499 nucleotides) under uncultured bacterium. RNAcentral's name for it is "partial 16S ribosomal RNA". It matches the Rfam family "Bacterial small subunit ribosomal RNA", at positions 30 to 522 of the family's 1533-position model. The record is from RNAcentral.
AUUGAACGCUGGCGGAAUGCUUUACACAUGCAAGUCGAACGGCAGCACGGACUUCGGUCUGGUGGCGAGUGGCGAACGGGUGAGUAAUACAUCGGAACGUGCCCAGUCGUGGGGGAUAACGUAGCGAAAGCUACGCUAAUACCGCAUACGAUCUAAGGAUGAAAGCGGGGGAUCGCAAGACCUCGCGUGAUUGGAGCGGCCGAUGGCAGAUUAGGUAGUUGGUAGGGUAAAGGCCUACCAAGCCGACGAUCUGUAGCUGGUCUGAGAGGAUGAUCAGCCGCACUGGGACGGAGACACGGCCCAGACUCCUACGGGAGGCAGCAGUGGGGAAUUUUGGACAAUGGGCGCAAGCCUGAUCCAGCCAUUCCGCGUGCAGGAUGAAGGCCUUCGGGUUGUAAACUGCUUUUGUACAGAACGAAAAGGCUCUGGUUAAUACCCGGGGCUCAUGACGGUACUGUAAGAAUAAGCACCGGCUAACUACGUGCCAGCCGCCGCGUAA